Molecule: ribosomal RNA, 2300 nt
Filed under: Escherichia coli
Lineage: Bacteria; Pseudomonadati; Pseudomonadota; Gammaproteobacteria; Enterobacterales; Enterobacteriaceae
Also listed under: 1 other name
Description: partial 23S ribosomal RNA
Rfam family: Bacterial large subunit ribosomal RNA
Source: RNAcentral
GGGGAGCCGAAGGGAAACCGAGUCUUAACUGGGCGUUAAGUUGCAGGGUAUAGACCCGAAACCCGGUGAUCUAGCCAUGGGCAGGUUGAAGGUUGGGUAACACUAACUGGAGGACCGAACCGACUAAUGUUGAAAAAUUAGCGGAUGACUUGUGGCUGGGGGUGAAAGGCCAAUCAAACCGGGAGAUAGCUGGUUCUCCCCGAAAGCUAUUUAGGUAGCGCCUCGUGAAUUCAUCUCCGGGGGUAGAGCACUGUUUCGGCAAGGGGGUCAUCCCGACUUACCAACCCGAUGCAAACUGCGAAUACCGGAGAAUGUUAUCACGGGAGACACACGGCGGGUGCUAACGUCCGUCGUGAAGAGGGAAACAACCCAGACCGCCAGCUAAGGUCCCAAAGUCAUGGUUAAGUGGGAAACGAUGUGGGAAGGCCCAGACAGCCAGGAUGUUGGCUUAGAAGCAGCCAUCAUUUAAAGAAAGCGUAAUAGCUCACUGGUCGAGUCGGCCUGCGCGGAAGAUGUAACGGGGCUAAACCAUGCACCGAAGCUGCGGCAGCGACGCUUAUGCGUUGUUGGGUAGGGGAGCGUUCUGUAAGCCUGUGAAGGUGUGCUGUGAGGUAUGCUGGAGGUAUCAGAAGUGCGAAUGCUGACAUAAGUAACGAUAAAGCGGGUGAAAAGCCCGCUCGCCGGAAGACCAAGGGUUCCUGUCCAACGUUAAUCGGGGCAGGGUGAGUCGACCCCUAAGGCGAGGCCGAAAGGCGUAGUCGAUGGGAAACAGGUUAAUAUUCCUGUACUUGGUGUUACUGCGAAGGGGGGACGGAGAAGGCUAUGUUGGCCGGGCGACGGUUGUCCCGGUUUAAGCGUGUAGGCUGGUUUUCCAGGCAAAUCCGGAAAAUCAAGGCCGAGGCGUGAUGACGAGGCACUACGGUGCUGAAGCAACAAAUGCCCUGCUUCCAGGAAAAGCCUCUAAGCAUCAGGUAACAUCAAAUCGUACCCCAAACCGACACAGGUGGUCAGGUAGAGAAUACCAAGGCGCUUGAGAGAACUCGGGUGAAGGAACUAGGCAAAAUGGUGCCGUAACUUCGGGAGAAGGCACGCUGAUACGUAGGUGAAGCGACUUGCUCGUGGAGCUGAAAUCAGUCGAAGAUACCAGCUGGCUGCAACUGUUUAUUAAAAACACAGCACUGUGCAAACACGAAAGUGGACGUAUACGGUGUGACGCCUGCCCGGUGCCGGAAGGUUAAUUGAUGGGGUUAGCGCAAGCGAAGCUCUUGAUCGAAGCCCCGGUAAACGGCGGCCGUAACUAUAACGGUCCUAAGGUAGCGAAAUUCCUUGUCGGGUAAGUUCCGACCUGCACGAAUGGCGUAAUGAUGGCCAGGCUGUCUCCACCCGAGACUCAGUGAAAUUGAACUCGCUGUGAAGAUGCAGUGUACCCGCGGCAAGACGGAAAGACCCCGUGAACCUUUACUAUAGCUUGACACUGAACAUUGAGCCUUGAUGUGUAGGAUAGGUGGGAGGCUUUGAAGUGUGGACGCCAGUCUGCAUGGAGCCGACCUUGAAAUACCACCCUUUAAUGUUUGAUGUUCUAACGUGGACCCGUGAUCCGGGUUGCGGACAGUGUCUGGUGGGUAGUUUGACUGGGGCGGUCUCCUCCUAAAGAGUAACGGAGGAGCACGAAGGUUGGCUAAUCCUGGUCGGACAUCAGGAGGUUAGUGCAAUGGCAUAAGCCAGCUUGACUGCGAGCGUGACGGCGCGAGCAGGUGCGAAAGCAGGUCAUAGUGAUCCGGUGGUUCUGAAUGGAAGGGCCAUCGCUCAACGGAUAAAAGGUACUCCGGGGAUAACAGGCUGAUACCGCCCAAGAGUUCAUAUCGACGGCGGUGUUUGGCACCUCGAUGUCGGCUCAUCACAUCCUGGGGCUGAAGUAGGUCCCAAGGGUAUGGCUGUUCGCCAUUUAAAGUGGUACGCGAGCUGGGUUUAGAACGUCGUGAGACAGUUCGGUCCCUAUCUGCCGUGGGCGCUGGAGAACUGAGGGGGGCUGCUCCUAGUACGAGAGGACCGGAGUGGACGCAUCACUGGUGUUCGGGUUGUCAUGCCAAUGGCACUGCCCGGUAGCUAAAUGCGGAAGAGAUAAGUGCUGAAAGCAUCUAAGCACGAAACUUGCCCCGAGAUGAGUUCUCCCUGACCCUUUAAGGGUCCUGAAGGAACGUUGAAGACGACGACGUUGAUAGGCCGGGUGUGUAAGCGCAGCGAUGCGUUGAGCUAACCGGUACUAAUGAACCGUGAGGCUUAACCUUACAACGCCGAAG